This is a long non-coding RNA of Macrobrachium nipponense, 286 nucleotides long. RefSeq lists it as uncharacterized. The record is from RefSeq and is a predicted model, not a curated record. The transcript is spliced from 3 exons. Lineage: Eukaryota; Metazoa; Arthropoda; Malacostraca; Decapoda; Palaemonidae.
AUUCCAGUGUUUAUCAACAAAAGAAUCUUUCGAAGUUUCAUGGAAUCAGAGAGCACAUUCAGAAACGGAAUUGAUGUUUUGUCACCUAGUGAAUUCACUGAGAAUGUGGAAACUAAGUUAUGGGAUGCUGUGGCAAAGAAUGACGUGGAACAGGCACAAAGCCUGCUUUGUCAAGGUGCAGACCCAUUCAAAAUAGGAGAAGACCGGCAAAACCACUGCUUAUAUGGAAGCUCAUCUUUUAGGUUACAAAGUGAUUUCACAAGUUUGACCCGCCACCCAGGAAACU